CCUACGGGCGGCAGCAGUGGGGAAUAUUGCACAAUGGGGGAAACCCUGAUGCAGCGACGCCGCGUGAGUGAAGGAGUAUUUCGGUACGUAAAGCUCUAUCAGCAGGGAAGAAAAUGACGGUACCUGACUAAGAAGCCCCGGCUAACUACGUGCCAGCAGCCGCGGUAAUACGUAGGGGGCAAGCGUUAUCCGGAUUUACUGGGUGUAAAGGGAGCGUAGACGGCAGCGCAAGUCUGGAGUGAAAUCCCAUGGCUUAACCAUGGAACUGCUUUGGAAACUGUGCAGCUAGAGUGCAGGAGAGGUAAGCGGAAUUCCUAGUGUAGCGGUGAAAUGCGUAGAUAUUAGGAGGAACACCAGUGGCGAAGGCGGCUUACUGGACUGUAACUGACGUUGAGGCUCGAAAGCGUGGGGAGCAAACAGGAUUAGAUACCCCAGUAGUC
RNAcentral lists this ribosomal RNA (440 nucleotides) under uncultured bacterium. Its description in RNAcentral is "partial 16S ribosomal RNA". It matches the Rfam family "Bacterial small subunit ribosomal RNA", at positions 338 to 795 of the family's 1533-position model. The record is from RNAcentral.